RNAcentral lists this ribosomal RNA (816 nucleotides) under Triticum aestivum (bread wheat). RNAcentral's name for it is "partial small subunit ribosomal RNA". The record is from RNAcentral. Lineage: Eukaryota; Viridiplantae; Streptophyta; Magnoliopsida; Poales; Poaceae.
AUGGGGAGGCCUCUGAUCUACGAGAUACUGGAGAAGCCGGCGAGCAGCGGCGUGAUAGCCCUCUGCUCCCUCAUCUGGUUCCUCAUCCAGAAGAGGGGCAUCGGGUACGCGGACGUGGGGCUGAGCUACGAGGCGGCCGUGGAGGGCGGGCAGCACUGGCGGCUCAUCACCGCCGCCUUCUCGCACGUCAGCGUGGUGCAUCUGGUGUUCAACAUGAGCGCGCUGUGGAGCCUCGGCGCCGUGGAGCAGGCAGCCGGGCUCGGCGUCCAGUACUACCUGCACUACACCCUUGUCCUCGUGGUGCUGUCCGGGCUGCUGGUUCUCGGGAUCUACCACGUGAUGAUCCGGAGGUUCAAGGUGGACUACUUCCGGAGGGUGACCGCCGUGGGCUACUCGUGCGUCGUGUUCGGGUGGAUGACCAUCCUCGCCGCAAAGCAGCCGUCGUCCAAGCUCAACCUCUUCGGGGUCCUCUCGCUGCCCAUCAGCUUCGCGCCCUUCGAGUCGCUCAUAUUCACAUCAAUCAUGGUUCCCCAGGCCAGCUUCAUCGGCCACCUGUCAGGGAUUAUUGUUGGUUACUCAAUUGCCUGGGGUUUGAUUCAUGGGAUGAAUAACUACUGGGCGGUCACAAUGCUCGGGUGGAUCGUGCUUGUCUUCGUCUUGAGCUUGAAGCGCACGGGGUCUUUGGAAAUGAGAUUUAUCGAGAUUGAGCCAGUUACGGACCCCUCGCUGCCGUCUGUCGGUGUGGUCGCCUCCAGAAAUGGUAGGGCUCUGCAAAUGGAUAUGCUGCCCGGAAGAGGGGUUGCGGAUUUUGUAUGA